CCCUGCUCCAGUGCCGGUCCCGAGUCCCGAGCCCGGGUGGCAGGGGCUGGUGGGCCGAGGCCCGAUUAAGCAGUCACCGGCCCCCUUCCAGCCCACCGUGGGUUCAUUUACUGCUUCCGACAUUUCCAGCUCGGCUUCACUGUCGCCCACUCGGUGGCCAGGCUCUGCCAGGCGAGGUGGCAUCUGAGCUGCAGAUACCUGGCACCGUGAAAUGGCUUUCUCCUCAGUGCCUCGCGCAGCUUCAGCCAAUGCAGGAGCCCUGAAUUGUACUGCUGUCUGAAAGGAGGGACAGACCACAUCCAAUGCAUCGACAAAAUUCUCCCAUAUGAUUUUAUUGAAUUUCUAGGAAGGUGGCAGACUAAAGUGAUUUUUAACACUUAUCAGUUGGAUUUAUGAUUUCAGUGUCAUCCACCCUGCUUCUGACAUUAGGAAAUGUUCAACAUGAGGGAAGCAUUCAAUGAUUUUUUUAACUACACUAUAAAACACUUUCGUCCCUUUCUUUCUGAAAUCCAUAAAUGGCUAAUUUAAUCACCUCGUCAGACCGUCGGAAUUCGGGAGUUUCAUCUGCUAAUUCUUUGGCACCGUUUGGAUGUUUUAAAUCAUUAUGAUAUAUUAUGUGAUGAGGACAGCUGACUUAAUAAUGGAUUAAAAAAAAAAAACCCUGGCCUUCCAGCUGUGGAUCUUCGCUUUCCUUUAUCUGGAGGGAAAAAAAUCUUUGAAUCCUGAAUCCAACAGCCAGUCUGGCAAAGACAACUAUACAAACUCUGGGUAUCUGGAACCUGGAGAGGAGCAGGGUUUGUACUUCAGGACUAGGAAAAUUAAGGACAUAAUGAUUGCAGAUAGAAACAUGCAAGCGUAAUUUCUCAUUGUUGGGAGAGAGAGGAGUUACCCUUUUGUGGGAAUACAGACUUUCAUCUCUCCAAUUCCUUUGGCUAUUAGAGAAGUCUGUCAUCGAUAACAAUCUUGCUUUGGCUUUGAGUUAGACUGGAGAAGACAAGCAAGGCUAAGCAUCUUUGGGAGUGCCCCAAACUUUUUGCCUUUUCCCAUUCAGUAGUCUAGUCAGUUGGCAUUUUUUAAAAGCCCCAUUUGGCUUUUUAAAGACCCCACGUGGGGAGGGCAAGGGAGGAGCUAGACUGGAGAGUACAAGAGGAAAUAAAUGGUUUCAUUCUCU
RNAcentral lists this long non-coding RNA (1171 nucleotides) under Monodelphis domestica (gray short-tailed opossum). RNAcentral describes it as "lncRNA (ENSMODG00000040846.1)". Lineage: Eukaryota; Metazoa; Chordata; Mammalia; Didelphimorphia; Didelphidae. The record is from RNAcentral.